CCUACGGGAGGCAGCAGUGGGGAAUAUUGCACAAUGGGGGAAACCCUGAUGCAGCGACGCCGCGUGAGUGAAGAAGCGUUUCGGCGCGUAAAGCUCUGUCAGCGGGGAAGAAACACGGUUCGCGAGAGCUGCGGACGGUACCCGACCAAGAAGCCCCGGCGAACUACGUGCCAGCAGGCGGGGUAAUACGUAGGGGGCAAGCGUUAACCGGGUCCAAUGGGUGUAAAGGGAGGGUAAACGGCGAGACAAGGCUGGAGUGAAAAGCCGGGGGCCAACCCCGGGACUGCGCUGGAAACUGCCUGGCUGGAGUACAGGAGAGGUAUGUGGAAUUCCUAGUGGAGCGGUGAAAUGCGUAGAUAUUAGGAGGAACACCAGUGGCGAAGGCGGCUUACUGGACUUUAACUGACGUUGAGGCUCGAAAGCGUGGGGAGCAAACAGGAUUAGAUACCCUAGUAGUC
This 458-nucleotide ribosomal RNA is filed under the name uncultured bacterium. RNAcentral's name for it is "partial 16S ribosomal RNA". It matches the Rfam family "Bacterial small subunit ribosomal RNA", at positions 338 to 795 of the family's 1533-position model. The record is from RNAcentral.